RNAcentral lists this ribosomal RNA (125 nucleotides) under uncultured bacterium. RNAcentral describes it as "partial 16S ribosomal RNA". It matches the Rfam family "Bacterial small subunit ribosomal RNA", at positions 383 to 525 of the family's 1533-position model. The record is from RNAcentral.
CUGAUCUAGCCAUGCCGCGUGAGUGAUGAAGGCCCUAGGGUUGUAAAGCUCUUUCAGCUGGGAAGAUAAUGACGGUACCAGCAGAAUAAUCCCCGGCUAAUUCCGUGCCAGCACCCCCGGUAAUA